This 473-nucleotide ribosomal RNA is filed under the name Shigella sonnei. Its description in RNAcentral is "bacterial SSU rRNA". It matches the Rfam family "Bacterial small subunit ribosomal RNA", at positions 1 to 470 of the family's 1533-position model. The record is from RNAcentral. Lineage: Bacteria; Pseudomonadati; Pseudomonadota; Gammaproteobacteria; Enterobacterales; Enterobacteriaceae.
AAAUUGAAGAGUUUGAUCAUGGCUCAGAUUGAACGCUGGCGGCAGGCCUAACACAUGCAAGUCGAACGGUAACAGGAAACAGCUUGCUGUUUCGCUGACGAGUGGCGGACGGGUGAGUAAUGUCUGGGAAACUGCCUGAUGGAGGGGGAUAACUACUGGAAACGGUAGCUAAUACCGCAUAAUGUCGCAAGACUAAAGAGGGGGACCUUCAGGCCUCUUGCCAUCGGAUGUGCCCAGAUGGGAUUAGCUAGUAGGUGGGGUAACGGCUCACCUAGGCGACGAUCCCUAGCUGGUCUGAGAGGAUGACCAGCCACACUGGAACUGAGACACGGUCCAGACUCCUACGGGAGGCAGCAGUGGGGAAUAUUGCACAAUGGGCGCAAGCCUGAUGCAGCCAUGCCGCGUGUAUGAAGAAGGCCUUCGGGUUGUAAAGUACUUUCAGCGGGGAGGAAGGGAGUAAAGUUAAUACCUUU